CAGCCCAGAAGGAAGGAACUCUGCCAUGGAAGAGAAGAGAAGAGAAGCAGCAUCUGACACGGCUGCGAGAUGAAGAAACCCCGCAGGUGGAUGCAUACCUCUGUGACUGACAGUGGUCAUGCACUACUCAAGACGUCUGUGGGACAGCAACCUCCAGAUUGGGCAGCCAAGAUGAUGCUGGGGGAUCACACGUUUGCCAGAAAGGGAUAUGAGACAGUGAAGCCUAAACCUCAGGGUCGCCCUCCCAUUCAGCACCUGACCUACCGAGACCAGAAGGACAAGCAGGUGACCUUCUUCUGGAGAAGACAUCACCCUGGGAGAAGCUGACUAUGGACAACAGACUCCAGCACCCUGGAUAGGGUAAUUCAGGAAUGGGAAAAAAAAAAUUAGAGGAAUGGUGACACCUUUUCACUUAGAGAGGAAUAAAGUCAAACAAAUUGCAUCGUACCUUUGGACCUAACUGACAGUCCAGUCCCUCUCUUCUGCUCAGGUUUGCUUCUGUCUCUACAACCCAGGCAGAUUCUUUAUGGUGCUAUAACUGUUGAGAUCUUUAACACGUUGGCCCUAAUCCUGUUAACUGUUACAAUAUUAACAUUUUACACUGUAUAAGAAGGCCAUUUUCCUGCAAGGCUAUGGAUACAGUCUUUCAGCUUCUGGUACAAUCAUUGUAUCCAUCCAAAGCCAAAUACGAUGAAAGAGAAUAAUGGGGAGGGGGAAGUUUUAAAACUUUAGAGUGCCUGUGGGGGAGUCUGUGGGUGGUUCGGAGUUUAGAAAAACAUACAAGUCUUUCUGGAUAGUGUGGGAUAUUUAAUCUCAACAAUAAGCAUUUCUCUUGUGCAAUUUUAACUUCAAAAGUCAUGUUACCUUUUAGUGUUUGAUUUUCUUUUGUUGAGGGUUUAACAUUUGCCAGAGAAGUAUAUAGCUUUGUUUGGUAAACUCCCAAGUCUAUUGUAAUCUGGGUUCUAUUCUUAGUUUUUUCACAAGCAUGCUACACAAAACUAGGUAGGCUAAGCAAUUUAAUGAUAUGUGUCUGCAUUGCUCCCCGUCCCCCUUCCGUAUGGGCUUUUUUCAAUGUGGCAAUUUUUCACACUGGUAUUGAGAAUCAGACUGGUAGUUUUGAUGCAUACAGUGUCUGUGUUUGAUGAAACUCAGGUUAUUGUUUAAGUUUUAAUGAGAACUUUCUGACGCCUACAGAAAAUUAACUUUUUUCAGUUGGGGUUUGGAAAAUGAAAAAAAUAUAUUCCAACUGAAAAAUAUAACUCAAAGCAUGGAAAUCAUUCCCUUGGAAAUACUACUGCUGUAUGUCUUAGGACCUGAAGUUACUUCAGGCCCCCGUCUUGCACUUUUGGUCUAAGGUUCCUGGCACAUCAUGGUGAGCCACAUUUUUAGUAUUCAGGACCAUUAUAUUUUGUUCUUUGACAUUAUUUCUGGAUGAAGGUUUGCUUAAAAAGUGGAAGUAUUCUGAUCAAGGUCUUCCCUCCUCUACCCCUUGUACCCUCCUAUAUAACACAUGAGCAUGAGCUUACACAUGCAUGCACACACACUCUUUGACCAGCUCAGGUAACCAAGUUUAAUAAAAAUGUUCAUGAAAUUGUUUUGAGAACCUCACAUUGAGGACCAGAUUCUCCAUAGAUUAUUUUAUUUAUUUAUUUGCCUUACAGUAAACUGGGAUGCAAUGUUCCCCUCCCUUAUAACUCAUACUCUAGAACUAAGAUCUGUAUCUAGGUAGGUCUCCAGACUAAUUUCAGGCAGCCAAUCAGUAGUAUAUAAUAUACAUCAUACCACUUAAUGGAUGGCUACUAAUAUACUGAAUGCAUUUAUAUCCCAGUAAUUGAACUAGGAUAUAAUUCCAUCAUGAUAGAUGUACAAGGAAUACAGUUCUCAGUUUUACUUGCUUUCUUAUUUUGUGCUUUUGCAGACUUUAAGAACAUGUUGCUUCUGUUCUAAUGUUGGCUCUCCACUUAGUAUUAGCUGAUACUGUACUCUGACAAAAGUCAGUCUCAUUAAGUAGUAGUGCACGGUACAGCCACAGUAGCCUUCAGUGAGACUCAUCGGAGGCACAGCCUGCAGAUCGAAAAGCAAUUAGCAUUCUGGCUUGUGAUAAUUACCCACAGUAUGGGAGGCUUAUCCAAGAUGUUCUUUCCACUGUGCCUAAUAAUAGGAUUCUUUAAACAUUUAUAUAUUUUCAUGGACAAACCAGCACUCUCAUUUCAACUCUUGUCACUUAUCUCAGAUAGGGGAAACAAACAUCUCUCACAUAUUUUUCCCCAUAAAGUAAAGUACACUGCUGUUCUGACAACUUGUGGUGUCACCUAAAAGUCACCUUGAAUCAUGUUUUAAUCAGCUGGAACAAGGCAACAUCUCAUUUAUUUCUGCAGUUUCCUUGCUCUGCGAUGCACUGAUUGCCGAGACAUAGAAAUCCAAAUUGAGCUCUGAUUAAAAUGGAAUGAGGAUGCAGAUGCUGCUGUUGGUUGACAGGGGCACUUUGCUCUGUAUGAGGAAAGGUCAAGGUGACUCAAGAUCUAAUUAUAAAUGAAACACUUUUAAUAGUUCUAGGUUAUGCUGUUCAUAACAGUUUCAGCUGACAGUUCAAAUUAUAUUAGAGUUGCUUUCUAUUCAUUUUAUUGGUGGUAGAAAUGCUUGCAAGAAUGCAAAAUUGAUGUUCUUAAUUGACCAUCUCAGGAAUGGAUUCUGACUCUGUAAGUGGUUUUACUGCUGACUACAGUCAGAGCUUUGAGAUCAUGCUUGAUCCUCUAAGUAUAGACAGGUAAUGAUCACAGAUAUUUGGGUUUCUAGGAAGGUAGACUUUACUAAAGCUUAUUAUUGUCCAAGGGAUAGGUAGUUGGUUCAUAUGUUCUCUUGCAAUAGACUCCUCAGGCAAUAGACUCCCCAGGUAUCUCUGCACUAUUUAACUGCUACAUUCAUCCCCCUUCUCUCUCCCCCCCC
Alligator mississippiensis (American alligator) is the source of this 2946-nucleotide long non-coding RNA. RefSeq lists it as uncharacterized. The transcript has 3 exons. NCBI's taxonomy places the organism in Eukaryota, Metazoa, Chordata, Crocodylia, Alligatoridae. The record is from RefSeq and is a predicted model, not a curated record.